CCAUGACAUAAGUUCAGAUUCACAGCUGUUAAAAACGGAACUUCUUCAUUUGGUUGCACAAAAUAAACCUCCAAAAACGUAUGUUGCCAUGAAUUGGGCCAACAGAAUGGCCAUAGAGUAUUGCGAUUGCCGCCAUAUCAUUGUGUGUUUAACCCUAUAGAAAAUACUUGGUGAAUUACUACAAAUUUUUAUUCCAAACACAUUGGGCGUGAUGGUUAUGGUCAAAAAAUUCCGUGGAAAUGUGGAAAGAAGCGUUAGCACAUGUCACGCCCACAAUGUGGAAAAAUACUGUUGACCAUAUGAAUAAAAUAAUACGGGAGUGGUGGGAACGGGAAUUAGUAUUUGACCGUGAAGAGAUUGCGCCGUUUAUAAUCGACAUUAACGAAGAUUCACAUUAUAGUUUUAGUGAUUAUGACAGUGAAGAUUCUAAUACUGCAGAGGGCAUUCAGCCACUGUAACAUGUAGGUUAUUUUCCAUUACCAUCCUAAUUGAUUGUACUACCGGCAUGUUCUGCUGAUGUCUUUUAUAAUCACACUAUCACUUCACUGGCCAAAUAUACAAAUCACUGGUCAGACGACGACGUUGUGCAACAUGCAUACUUAUUAUUGUUUAUACUUUACUUUUGUAUCUAUUCCAUGUCAAUAAAGUAACUUAUUCUGUA
This is a long non-coding RNA of Zophobas morio, 661 nucleotides long. RefSeq lists it as uncharacterized. The record is from RefSeq and is a predicted model, not a curated record. The transcript is spliced from 2 exons. Lineage: Eukaryota; Metazoa; Arthropoda; Insecta; Coleoptera; Tenebrionidae.